GUAGGCAACUAACUAAGUAACAAUAUUAGUUAAACAUAAAGCAAAAACAACUUCUUGUUACACAAUUCAAUUAAUUCACUGAUUAAUUGCAGAGGCAAAGCCUAAGGCUAUACUAGAUAUGAUGAAAUCUAAUUUGAUAUCACUUUCUCAUGGUAAAAGCCAUUUACAGAAAUGCUGAUCUUCAGAACGUGUGCAUAAAGCUUUGCGAGUGAAAUGAGUUAUCUUUGUCUUUUAGAAAGAUCUGAGGAAGGACAUAGAACAAAUAGAGUCACAGAGCUUCAACUCAACAUCCAUACGCAAAUUGAGGAAUUGUGACAAUUGCAACCAGAGGUUUGAAAGAGCAUUUCCCAACAUCAAGGUAAUAUGCAAUUUUGGACACAACGAGAAAUGGCAGUUCCGAAAUAUGUCAACUGUUUAAAGCCACUCUAUUUUCUCAUCUACUUGUCUUGAUUAAGCCUUUCCUGGCUGUGAUGUAAUGCUGGUAGCAAUAGUAUAUUUGACUGGUAAAUCUCUUCUGAACAUAGUGUUCUGCAUAAAUC
Long non-coding RNA from Trifolium pratense (red clover), 539 nucleotides. RefSeq lists it as uncharacterized. The record is from RefSeq and is a predicted model, not a curated record. The transcript has 3 exons. Lineage: Eukaryota; Viridiplantae; Streptophyta; Magnoliopsida; Fabales; Fabaceae.